RNAcentral lists this ribosomal RNA (497 nucleotides) under uncultured bacterium. Its description in RNAcentral is "partial 16S ribosomal RNA". It matches the Rfam family "Bacterial small subunit ribosomal RNA", at positions 28 to 507 of the family's 1533-position model. The record is from RNAcentral.
GACGAACGCUGGCGGCGUGCCUAAUACAUGCAAGUCGAACGUUGAAGCUUGGUGCUUGCUCUGAGCGGAUGAGUUUUUCACGGUUUAGUAACGCGUAGUUAACCUGCCUUGUAGCGGGGGAUUACUACUGGAAACGAUAGCUAAUACCGCAUAAGAGUAGAUGUUGCAUGACAUUUGCUUUACUGGUGCAAUUGCAUCACUACCAGCUGGACCUGCGUUGUAUUAGCUAGUUGGUGAGGUAACGGCUCACCAAGGCAACGAUACAUAGCCGACCUGAGAGGGAGAUCGGCCACACUGGGACUGAGACACGGCCCAGACGCCUACGGGAGGCAGCAGUAGGGAAUCUUCGGCAAUGGACGGAAGUCUGACCGAGCAACGCCGCGUGAGUGAAGAAGGUUGUCGGAUCGUAAAGCUCUGUUGUAAGAGAAGAACGAGGGUGAGAGUGGAAAGUUCACACUGUGACGGUAUCUUAACAGAAAGGGACGGCUAACUACGUG